UAAAAAUUAAAUAGAAAAAGUUAACUUGAUAAUUAAUUAACAGAAGAGGCAGAAGUAUAUAUAUAAAUAUAAGCAGCAGAGAUAUAUUUGUGUGGUAAGAGGAUGAGAUGCAAAGAUGGAUGGAAGAAGAAAGUAGAUGGAAGCCAAAAUGGUAAAUUGGUAACUAAGAAAGAAAACUUGGGUGGCCACAGGCACAGGCAUAUAGAGCUGAUUUUAAUUUGAGUGUUUGUUGGUUAAACAUUAUUUGAGGAGAAUCCGGUAAUUAGGGGAAUUGAAGCCCUAGGGGGUGUCAAUUUUCGGCCCCCACUUUGAAAACGCUUGUGCUUGUGCUUGUGGAGAACGCAACAAUGGAUACAGAUACAUUUUGAUUACGAUGUAUAACUGCGUUCUCUCUCUCUCUGACACACAUCUUAUUAAGCACCAACCAAUCUCCUUCAAUUCUUCCUCAUUUAUUACUUACACACUCUAUCUCUCUAUAUAUACAUCAUUAUUCACUCUUCAUUCUCACUUCUCUUCUUCUUUUCUUCCACCAUAUACUUUUACUGCUUUGCCCUCAUCAUACACAUACAUUAUUGUUGCCUAUCAAUACUUCAAUACUAGUCCAUGUGGGUCUCCCUCUAAUUUGUACCCCUUUCAAUUAUCACAUUUUAGGGUUAGGGUUAGGGCUCUUCUUCUUCUUCUUCUUCAUGGAGUAUACAUAGAUCUGAUCUGCUCUCAAUCAAAACCAGUCACUGUUUGCCGGUGGAGCAUCAUCAAGAUUCACAAGUUCUUUCACUUAGCUUGGUGGUUAGCCAUGACUAUGAGAAUCUUGAUGAUGCUGCAGCAGCAAUAAAUGACUACUACUACUACCACCUUCAGGAGUUCAAGUUCAUCACAAUAAGCCUAAAUAGGGUGACCAAGCGAACGGCUAAGAAUUCGAAUGAGGUGAUGACUGCUUAGAGCUAUUUUGUUCUGACCUUAAUGAUGGACAAGAUGAAAUUGCAUGGUUAAAUUAUCACUAAUUGAAUUGAUAUGUGGAUAAUGAGUUAUAACUCAAAUGGCAUAGACUCCCCAUACUCAAUUAAGAGGUCACGGGUUCGAGUUACAUAUCUUUUUAAAUUUUAGCCAAGAAGCAAUAGCUGCUCUAUUCUGUGCUAAUAAUAUUCUUGCUAGGUUACAAAAACUUUAUUCAAUAUUUAUAUAUGUAAUAAUCUUUCAUUUAGUGAUUUACUAGCUAGAACCCAUGUAUGUGCUUCCCUAAUUAGUGUUAGGAAAAGUAUAUGUAGACAACAAAAAUACUAAAUAAUGUGAACAAUGGAAAUAUCGGAUGUUCAAUUCAA
This is a non-coding RNA of Arachis ipaensis, 1319 nucleotides long. The record is from RefSeq and is a predicted model, not a curated record. Lineage: Eukaryota; Viridiplantae; Streptophyta; Magnoliopsida; Fabales; Fabaceae.